This 295-nucleotide ribosomal RNA is filed under the name uncultured bacterium. Its description in RNAcentral is "partial 16S ribosomal RNA". It matches the Rfam family "Bacterial small subunit ribosomal RNA", at positions 29 to 349 of the family's 1533-position model. The record is from RNAcentral.
AACGAACGCUGGCGGCAUGCCUAACACAUGCAAGUCGAACGAGACCUUCGGGUCUAGUGGCGCACGGGUGCGUAACGCGUGGGAAUCUGCCCUUCGGUUCGGAAUAACAGUGGGAAACUACUAGCUAAUACCGGAUAAUGACGUAAGUCCAAAGAUUAUCGCCGAAGGAGUGAGCCCGCGUAGGAUUAGCUAGUUGGUGGGGUAAAGGCCGUACCAAGGCGACGAUCCUUAGCUGGUCUGAGAGGAUGAUCAGCCACACUGGGACUGAGACACGGCCCAGACUCCUACGGGAGGC